CCCACCUUUAAGUGGUUCAGAUGUCUGUAGGCAAACAGAAAGAACAAAGUGGGCAAGGACCAGGACAAAACCUGGAGCUUGGACUUUGCUGGACUUCUCUGCACAACACCCACAUCAGCUGGAACGCAAUUUGCACGUGCAUCACGUCCAUCCUGACCCUUCAAUAACUGAAUAACUGUAUAAGUUUGGCUCCUAAUCUCACAGGAUCAAGCAUAAACAAAAUAGAGGAAAUGAUGAUCAGUAAUGUGACAUCUCUUCAGGACAUCGACAGCAGCAGGGCAGGAAACAUGAGCGUGAGAUUAUAGAGUUUGCACUGCACAGCACACCCUUUAAUUAAGCCCUUACCUCCAGCAGAAGACGCUGAGCCAAAGCCACCAGACACACAGACAGCUUUCUCGCUCAUAGUUGUAGCCUUUAUUACCACAUCGAACACAUUUUAGCCUAAAAAAUCCAGCAGUUCUUUUUAUGACACACACCUCAGCAUAUGCAUUAUUAGAUGUUGAGGCAUAAUAAUAAGUCAUUAGUUAUUGUAUCAGAUCAGAAGUUUCCUUUAGGUUCUCUUUUGGUUCUCUGGUUUCCUUCUACCUCUAAAAAACAUGCCAUUAGGUGGAUUGGUGUGUGUGUGUGUGUGUGUGUGUGUGUGUGUGUGUGUGUGUGUGUGUGUGUGUGUGUGUGUGUGUGUGUGUGAGAGAGAGAGAGAGAGAGAUUCCCUGUAAUUGAUUGCUAUUUCAUCCCAUACAGCAUUUCAGUUUUCCUGAAAUAAUCUCAUCAGCCCAUUGUAAUGAAUGUGUAUAAAUAAAUUAUUGCCCUGCUGGACCAACCUGCAUCAGUCACACUCUCAGAAGAGGGCGAUGUUCAUCUUUCCUUUGCCAACCACUCAUCUGCCUCACUUCCCUCUAGGCUGAACAGGAAGUGUGUAUCUAACCAGAUACGCUGUUAUGUUGUCAUGCUUUGGAUAGUUUACACAGUUUCUAUUUCAAAACCGAGGACAAGCACAGAGCGACACACAGUCGGCUUUGUUAUAGUGUCUAAACAGAUGAAGAGCAGAGUUCACUUUGUAUACACGCUGAAGAGAAGCUGAGCAUUAGCCGCCCUUGUUGAAUCCCACAGCACUGACUUUGCGUGUCACGUCUUCCUGGCUCGGUGUUUUGGGCUUUGAACUGAAGAGGUGCUAAAACCAGGAUUCUAGAUGUCACCAGUUUGAUGUUAGUUUGUAAACUGUGUACGUAAUAUGCAUGCACCUCCCAGCCAAAUUAAGCACUGUGAAAUUAAUAAAUAAAAACUUUGAUGUUA
Long non-coding RNA from Tachysurus fulvidraco (yellow catfish), 1293 nucleotides. RefSeq lists it as uncharacterized. NCBI's taxonomy places the organism in Eukaryota, Metazoa, Chordata, Actinopteri, Siluriformes, Bagridae. The transcript is spliced from 2 exons. The record is from RefSeq and is a predicted model, not a curated record.